GCCUCUCUAAUUUGCCCAGUAGCAUGCCCCUCUUCAGAGCCAUCAGAGACUGGCUCUGUUGGACAUGGUGGAAGCUUCUAGUGGCCUUCUGCAGGAGCUGCCCCCAUGGCCCUCCCCCACUACCAAAAACCAAGCUGUGUCAAAUCCAACACACACAGCUGCCUUUUUCCAGCUCUGUCUUGUUCCUUCUUUACUUCCUGAGAGACUCCUAAAUAAAUCCUCAACAAAGUGAUUAGAGCCCUAUGUUCAAUCCAAAGCUUAGCAGGUCUUGAGGGCUGAGGGCCCGGGCUGGAGAGUCAUGAGCCGUCAUAAACUGAAAUGAGGAGUCAUCAGCAUCUCAGCAGAAAAUGCCUUCAGUAUCCAAAGCAGCUUCCAAAGGGGUGAGCUUUCGCUGAGCUCCUUCCUUUCCGUUGUGGAAACAGCCAGAAAAAUUGUUGAGUACAUUCAGGAUUCCUAGAAAAAGCAGUUAAAAGCUGUACAGACUGGGAGCAAUAGAGUCCUUGCGAGAGGGCACACCAGGUCAAACACUGGGAAAUAAUGACCAUGAGGAAGAGAUGUGCAGCUGGAGAUCAGGGGAGGCAGUAGUGUGUGUAGAUUAAUUAGUGUGUGUGUAGGUCAAUUUUACAAUCCAUACUUUAAUCUAUGUACACAUCAAUUAGAAGAAAUACUUUUAAAGAAGAAGAAAUUGAAUACAUUUCUGAAAUAGAGUUUUCUAUGUGUUUCCUGUGGUGUUUGAUGCAAGGCAGCACUAGAGCUCUGUGUCCCAAAGCCACAUUGUGGAGCCUGACCAGUGUGUCUGGAUUCUUGAAGCCACCUCAGACACUUCAGCUUCCCGUUCUCCAGCUGGCAGUGCUGGUUGUGUAGCAUCGACGGCCUCUAGCUCAGAACAGAAUGCACCUGGGGAAGAGGAAUCACCACCAGUGGACCUAAGCCUUCCUGUUGAGAAAAUUAUUUGGGAGAGCAGGAGAUCCCUGUCUGAAAAGUCUCCAUCUGCUGAGGGGAAUAUUAAUGUUGCCCCUGAGUCUUCAGGAGGGGAGCCUGUGGACAGAGCUGCAGCAGAGGAAAUUUCAUCUGGAACCGAGAGCUGCAGGAACAGUUCCCCAGAGCCCGAAGAGCUUGAUUUCCACCUGAUCUACCUCGCCAGCAGGGCUGCCCUGCAUGAGAAGGAUCAGAGGGAGUGACCAUCAGGCAGGUGGAAUCCCUGUGUUUAUUAAUACGUUUAGAGAUGUCUGUAGUUCUAUUUAUAUAGCCAUAUAGUUAUUAAUGUCUUUGUAGCUGUAUUUUAAAAUCUGUACCGUUAAAUGUAUAUAUAUAGUUAUAGGCAUGAUAUUUUAUAUAUGUGCACAUUUACAGAUGUGCAUAAUUAUAUAGUAAGAUGAAUAUGGAUAUUUAGAUGCAUAGAUUGCUGCUUGUGUAGACUUAGGCUGCAUUUUGACCUCUUUCCCCCUCA
Passer domesticus (house sparrow) is the source of this 1450-nucleotide long non-coding RNA. RefSeq lists it as uncharacterized. Lineage: Eukaryota; Metazoa; Chordata; Aves; Passeriformes; Passeridae. The transcript has 3 exons. The record is from RefSeq and is a predicted model, not a curated record.